AUUGAACGCUGGCGGCAGGCUUAACACAUGCAAGUCGAGCGAGCGGCGGACGGGUGAGUAACGUCUGGGAAACUGCCUGAUGGAGGGGGAUAACUACUGGAAACGGUAGCUAAUACCGCAUACCAUCAGAUGUGCCCAGAUGGGAGUAGCUAGUAGGUGGGGGAAUGGCUCACCGAGGCGACGAUCCCUAGCUGGUCUGAGGGGAUGACCGGCCACACUGGACAGGAGACACGGUACAGAGUCCAGCGGGAGUAAGCAGUGGGGAAUAUUGCACAAGGGGGACAAGCCUGAUGCAGCCAUGCCGCGUGUGUGAGGAAGGCCUUCGGGUUGUAAGGCACUUUCAGCGAGGAGGCGUUACUCGCAGAAGAAGCACCGGCUAACUCCGUGCCAGCAGCCGCGGUAAUUC
This 406-nucleotide ribosomal RNA is filed under the name uncultured bacterium. RNAcentral describes it as "partial 16S ribosomal RNA". It matches the Rfam family "Bacterial small subunit ribosomal RNA", at positions 29 to 526 of the family's 1533-position model. The record is from RNAcentral.